UGGUGGAGUGAUUUGUCUGGUUAAUUCCGAUAACGAACGAGACCUUAACCUGCUAAAUAGAGAUGCGAACCUGCGUUCGUAGGCUCUUCUUAGAGGGACUGACUACGUUUAGUGGUCGGAAGUUUGAGGCAAUAACA
This 137-nucleotide ribosomal RNA is filed under the name uncultured eukaryote. Its description in RNAcentral is "partial 18S ribosomal RNA". It matches the Rfam family "Eukaryotic small subunit ribosomal RNA", at positions 1299 to 1458 of the family's 1831-position model. The record is from RNAcentral.